Molecule: long non-coding RNA, 519 nt
Organism: Oncorhynchus tshawytscha (Chinook salmon)
Lineage: Eukaryota; Metazoa; Chordata; Actinopteri; Salmoniformes; Salmonidae
Source: Ensembl
GAGGGGCAGUCAGAUCUCUUAGCAAACUGUAUGUUUUUGGGCCAAUUAAACUCAACAACGCUGGUACUCUUUUGUUAUCAGCAAUGUCGUUUGCAAUGAAGUACUGUUCCAGUCGUUCAAUGUAACUUGCCCAGUUUUCUUGCGUGUCAUCAAACACAUCUAUUUUCCCGAUGCUAGCCAUUCUCUUUACCUCCGGCUCCACGGGUCUUUGAUCUGCUGCCUCGUUGUCGUCAGCUCUCCCCAAAACGAGAUUUCAAGGACUAGCAGAGGACUGGAGACCACAGCAGCGAUUCUGCUCUUGCCCAACCUCUUCAAAGAGGAGCCAAGUGGCCUUUAUGUCCGUGACAAGGUAUGCCUAUGCACCAAUCAUCUGUUUCUUCAUAAACAUAAGUGUGCAUGCUUAUAUAAAACUACAGCUGAACAUUUGUUAUGUUCUUUGUUAAUUGUAUGUGUAUUAAUCUUUUCUUACUUUUGUUGACACAGAUUUCACCGCUCUUCACUCCUUUACUGCACAUCGGC